GACGAACGCUGGCGGCGUGCCUAAUACAUGCAAGUAGAACGCUGAAGAGAGGAGCUUGCUCUUCUUGGAUGAGUUGCGAACGGGUGAGUAACGCGUAGGUAACCUGCCUUGUAGCGGGGGAUAACUAUUGGAAACGAUAGCUAAUACCGCAUAACAAUGGAUGACACAUGUCAUUUAUUUGAAAGGGGCAAUUGCUCCACUACAAGAUGGACCUGCGUUGUAUUAGCUAGUAGGUGAGGUAACGGCUCACCUAGGCGACGAUACAUAGCCGACCUGAGAGGGUGAUCGGCCACACUGGGACUGAGACACUGCCCAGACUCCUACGGGAGGCAGCAGUAGGGAAUCUUCGGCAAUGGGGGCAACCCUGACCGAGCAACGCCGCGUGAGUGAAGAAGGUUUUCGGAUCGUAAAGCUCUGUUGUAAGUCAAGAACGAGUGUGAGAGUGGAAAGUUCACACUGUGACGGUAGCUUACCAGAAAGGGACGGCUAACUACGUG
This 497-nucleotide ribosomal RNA is filed under the name uncultured bacterium. RNAcentral's name for it is "partial 16S ribosomal RNA". It matches the Rfam family "Bacterial small subunit ribosomal RNA", at positions 28 to 507 of the family's 1533-position model. The record is from RNAcentral.